RNAcentral lists this ribosomal RNA (253 nucleotides) under uncultured bacterium. RNAcentral describes it as "partial 16S ribosomal RNA". It matches the Rfam family "Bacterial small subunit ribosomal RNA", at positions 524 to 776 of the family's 1533-position model. The record is from RNAcentral.
UACGUAGGGUCCGAGCGUUGUCCGGAAUUACUGGGCGUAAAGAGCUCGUAGGUGGUUUGUCGCGUUGUUCGUGAAAACUCACAGCUCAACUGUAGGCGUGCGGGCGAUACGGGCAGACUAGAGUACUGCAGGGGAGACUGGAAUUCCUGGUGUAGCGGUGGAAUGCGCAGAUAUCAGGAGGAACACCGGUGGCGAAGGCGGGUCUCUGGGCAGUAACUGACGCUGAGGAGCGAAAGCGUGGGGAGCGAACAGG